Molecule: long non-coding RNA, 103 nt
Organism: Melitaea cinxia (Glanville fritillary)
Lineage: Eukaryota; Metazoa; Arthropoda; Insecta; Lepidoptera; Nymphalidae
Exons: 3
Source: RefSeq, a predicted model, not a curated record
UUCUAAACUAUAUCUAUCUAUAUAUUAUUACGCGAAGCAAAAGCUUUGUACCACUUUUUAGGAAAAUUGCGCGAACGGAGUAUGAAAUUUCACACACUUAUAG